UCCCGAUCUGAUGGUGGACACAUUUGCAGUGCCAGCCUUUCAUGCCUAUGCUCAUGAUGCUGACAGUCAGGUCACUGAUGGUACCAGGUAUGUGACUGUGGGCUUGCUGACGGAGAACAAAUGGAGAGGUUGUGGUCCUACCUUCGAAAAGUUGGGAAGAUCACAAAAGAGAUGACACCUUCUCAUCGUGUUGACACCCUCACCGAUGCCCUCCUAUUACGCAGCCAGGGUCAGGGAGAAGCAAGGUUAACCCCGUCGCAGCAGACAGACCUGCUGUCCCCCUUACCAUACUCUGGAGUGCAACAUGAGAGACGGAGGACAAGCUGAACAAGCUGGGCCAGAAGAUCUCAGCCAGAGAGAAUUCCUAGCUGCAGAAUAAGAUGAUCCUUAAGGAGCAGUUCACCGAAGAGUACGUGAAGGCCAAAUGCCUGAAGGACGACCCGGGGCAGCACCUGCAGACCAGCGUUGUACCUUGGCCACCCAGCAGUCCAGACUUGAAUAAGGGAGUCUACCCCGAUAUCUCACGGGCUGAGGCUGUCUGAAGCACAGGACGACAUCAUGGCAGGUAUGUGAGCAGUUACGGUAGAACUAAGUCUGAACUGGAUGCUAGAUGUAACUCUGAGCCCGAUGCUUUAGACACCUUUCUGUGUUUUCAAACAUUGUCGCACGAGGGCGAUGCGCACAAGUUGGUGGCAGAACACAGUCGAGUAAUAGAACGCCAGCAAAAAAAGCCUCUUUACAUGUUACUUGUGAAUGCAUUUCACACUACUUUUAAGGCUUGUGUAAAUGUCCUGCUUAAUGUAAUGUUUGUCUCAUCACAAAUCAACUGCCUUAUAGUUUAAAAACAGUUCAACUUAAAUGUCUUAGGCUGUAGCAAAAGCUAGCCAAUGUCAAUGAGCAUUAGUAUUCUAGCUAACAAAUGCUGCAUCCAAAAUAGUUAUUUUUUGAAGAUCACAACCAAAUACAAUCUUAGCGACUGUUCAAGCAAGAAUCAAAACAUUGUAAAGGUAUGAGAACCCCCCAAAAUUAUUUUGUUUAGAAGUAAUACAAAGUUAAAUCUAGGCUGUUGAAUGGGCGCAGAUGGCAAUGGCUUUCUUACUGCAGCCAAGAGUCACGCGCAUUUGUGCGUUAUGUCAGUAUGUCCGGUACUGGAAAGGGACAGAAUACAUUCAGAUCAGAGUUAGUCCCAUACGGAACCAUUCCAUGUACACACAGCACCGCACUUACAUGGUUGUUGGCUGAGCUCCUUUCGUUUUAUCUGCUGUUCUUCGUGCAAUAAUUAUGAAUGCUACCAUAUGUAGCUUGUUAGCUGGUGUGCCAAAGGCUAUAGAGGUCAGUUACCUCAGGUUUUGUUUGUUGGGAAGCCAAAGUUGAUUUCAAAGACAUCAAAAAAAAGUACUAUUUUGCUGUGACAUUGUGUAUCUUAAUGACCCGGUGUCGAACCAGGGAUGCUGCAGCCACAACGCAGAGGACUAACUACUUACUAUACGCUCACAGCGAGCUACCAGGGCU
RNAcentral lists this long non-coding RNA (1512 nucleotides) under Oncorhynchus mykiss (rainbow trout). RNAcentral describes it as "lncRNA (ENSOMYG00000074735.1)". Lineage: Eukaryota; Metazoa; Chordata; Actinopteri; Salmoniformes; Salmonidae. The record is from RNAcentral.